This 696-nucleotide ribosomal RNA is filed under the name uncultured bacterium. Its description in RNAcentral is "bacterial SSU rRNA". It matches the Rfam family "Bacterial small subunit ribosomal RNA", at positions 32 to 715 of the family's 1533-position model. The record is from RNAcentral.
AACGCUAGCUACAGGCUUAACACAUGCAAGUCGAGGGGAAACGACAUCGAAAGCUUGCUUUUGAUGGGCGUCGACCGGCGCACGGGUGAGUAACGCGUAUCCAACCUGCCCAUCACUUGGGGAUAACCUUGCGAAAGUAAGACUAAUACCCAAUGAUAUCUCUAGAAGACAUCUGAAAGGGAUUAAAGAUUUAUCGGUGAUGGAUGGGGAUGCGUCUGAUUAGCUUGUUGGCGGGGUAACGGCCCACCAAGGCGACGAUCAGUAGGGGUUCUGAGAGGAAGGUCCCCCACAUUGGAACUGAGACACGGUCCAAACUCCUACGGGAGGCAGCAGUGAGGAAUAUUGGUCAAUGGGCGAGAGCCUGAACCAGCCAAGUAGCGUGCAGGAUGACGGUCCUAUGGGUUGUAAACUGCUUUUAUAAGGGAAUAAAGUGAAUCUCGUGAGGCUUUUUGCAUGUACCCUAUGAAUAAGGACCGGCUAAUUCCGUGCCAGCAGCCGCGGUAAUACGGAAGGUCCAGGCGUUAUCCGGAUUUAUUGGGUUUAAAGGGAGCGUAGGCCGCCCCUUAAGCGUGUUGUGAAAUGCCGCGGCUCAACCGUGGCACUGCAGCGCGAACUGGGGGGCUUGAGUGCACGCAACGCAGGCGGAAUUCGUGGUGUAGCGGUGAAAUGCUUAGAUAUCACGAAGAACUCCGAUUG